RNAcentral lists this ribosomal RNA (570 nucleotides) under uncultured Glomeromycotina. Its description in RNAcentral is "SSU rRNA". It matches the Rfam family "Eukaryotic small subunit ribosomal RNA", at positions 548 to 1114 of the family's 1831-position model. Lineage: Eukaryota; Fungi; Glomeromycota. The record is from RNAcentral.
UUGGAGGGCAAGUCUGGUGCCAGCAGCCGCGGUAAUUCCAGCUCCAAUAGCGUAUAUUAAAGUUGUUGCAGUUAAAAAGCUCGUAGUUGAAUUUCGGGAUUGGCACAUCGGUCGUGCCUUAAGGGGCAUGAACUGGUGUAGCCAAUUUCUCACCUUUUGGAGAACCGCGAUGUCCUUAAUUGGGUGCCGCGAGGAACCAGGACCUUUACUUUGAAAAAAUUAGAGUGUUUAAAGCAGGCAUUUUGCUUGAAUACAUUAGCAUGGAAUAGUAAAAUAGGACGGAUGAUUCUAUUUUGUUGGUUUCUAGGACCACCGUAAUGAUUAAUAGGGAUAGUUGGGGGCAUUAGUAUUCAAUUGUCAGAGGUGAAAUUCUUGGAUUUAUUGAAGACUAACUACUGCGAAAGCAUUUGCCAAGGAUGUUUUCAUUAAUCAAGAACGAAAGUUAGGGGAUCGAAGACGAUCAGAUACCGUCGUAGUCUUAACCAUAAACUAUGCCGACUAGGAAUCAGACGAUGUUAAUUUUUUAAUGACUCGUUUGGCACCUUACGGGAAACCAAAGUGUUUGGGUUC